RNAcentral lists this small RNA (2581 nucleotides) under Pongo abelii (Sumatran orangutan). RNAcentral describes it as "retained intron". Lineage: Eukaryota; Metazoa; Chordata; Mammalia; Primates; Hominidae. The record is from RNAcentral.
AACUGCCCCGACUGUCGCGGUGAGGGCCCCAGGACAGAAGCAGACAGACAGGGCUCCUGCUGUCGAUUCCGAUCCAGCCAGAAUGCCUCCAACUCAGGCCGAAAGUGUUAUAAGGAGUAUUAUACGAGAAAUAGGACAAGAAUGUGCAGCCCAUGGAGAGAUUGUUUCUGAAACUCUGAUUGCUUUUAUGGUGAAAGCUGUUGUCUUGGACCCAAGUAAUGGCUUUAACAUGGAUAGAACCCUCAUGAAAAGUGAUGUGCAGAAUCUUGUUCAGCUUUGUAUGACUCGGCUAUUGGAUACUAAAAAUCCAUCCCUGGACACUAUUAAGAUGCAAGUCUACUUUGAUAUGAAUUAUACAAAUCGAGUGGAAUUUCUCGAAGAACAUCACCGGGUCCUAGAGUCUAGAUUAGGCUCUGUUACCAGAGAAAUUACAGAUAACAGAGCAUGUGCUAAAGAAGAAUUGGAAAGCCUCUACCGGAAGAUUAUCAGCUAUGUGUUACUCCGCUCUGGCCUUGGAUCCCCUACAGACAUCAAGACUGUCAGAGAGGUAACAGCUGCUCUACAGAGUGUUUUUCCUCAGGCUGAGCUUGGGACGUUUCUAACUCUUUCUAAGAAGGACAAAGAACGCCAGCUGAAAGAACUCACCAUGAUUGUUACUGGAAUUCGUUUAUUUAACAGAGAUUGUGGAAAAGGAGGAGAAGGCGUUGAUGAUUUGCCAGCUGUUCUCCAUGUAGCAAUCCCAGCCACCAUGCAGCAUAUUGAUUACCAGCUUGAGACUGCCCGGAGCCAGGUAUACCGCUACACAGCCAUCCUUGAGAAGGCAGCCAACGACCCACUCAUGAGGGCUGAACUUCAGCCAUAUAUGUUAAAAGAAGCGCUAUAUAAUAUACGACAAUAUGAGGUCUUCCUUCAGAUCAUUUUGUCAGAUAUAAUUACUGGUGCUCAAGAAGUGGAAAUGAUGACAAAGCAGUUAGCAGCCCAUCUGGAACAACUAAAAAUGACGAUAAAAUCAAAGACAGCGGUCCCAACAUCACAAGUCUUUCCUAUCUUCAUUGCACUUUCUACUCUGUGGACCAGCUUGCAAGACGAAACUAUUGUGGUUGGUGUCCUCAGUAAUUUAUUCACUCACAUUCAGCCAUUCUUGGGUGCUCACGAACUAUACUUUCCUGAGAGAGUGAUGCAAUGUCAUCUUAAUGGAGCGACUGUGAAAACUGAUGUGUGUAGAAUGAAAGAACACAUGGAAGAUAGAGUAAAUGUGGCAGAUUUCAGAAAACUAGAAUGGCUUUUCCCAGAAACAACAGCAAAUUUUGAUAAACUGUUAAUUCAAUAUCGGGGAUUUUGUGCUUACACAUUUGCUGCAACAGAUGGUCUUCUCCUUCCAGGAAAUCCAGCAAUUGGAAUUUUAAAAUAUGAAGAAAAAUAUUACACAUUCAAUAGUAAAGAUGCUGCAUAUUCAUUUGCAGAAAAUCCUGAACAUUAUAUUGAUAUAGUUAGAGAAAAGGCCAAAAAAAAUGCAGAGUUAAUUCAGCUAUUGGAACUUCAUCAACAGUUUGAAACACUUAUUCCAUAUUCUCAGGUAAGCAGGGUCAAUAUUUUAUGAAUUUAUGACAUUUAAAAAUAUAGUUAAUUUAAAAGUUAUAUUUUAUUGUAGAAUGCUUCCCAAGUCCAGGCAGGUCUUGGUCUGUAAAGACGAGGGUCUUUACAGGUUGUCUGAAAGGGAUUCACAUCUGAAGAUGAAUCAAUAAAGAAUAAUGAAAACAGGAUAUGGAGUCAAAUUGAUGAAUUAGGAAAUGGGGAAAAUCUGAAUCAGAAUGACUUCAUUGACUUAUAAAUAAUCGAAGCUGCAGUAUAUUUCUGUAUCUGAAAUUGGAGGAGCUCAACACAGAUAACACAGACAGUAACUUAUACUCAGAGCUGCAAAACAAUUUAACAGGUUUAAAUUGUAGUAGUCUGAAAGGCCACAGAAUGGAUCUCAAGGUGGGUUUCUUGUAUGUCUGUGCCUAUUGAUUAAUUCAUUCAUCUUAUUUAGUAAGCCACUUAUUGUGUAUCAGUAAUUAUUCUUGGCAUAAGGGAUUUUAUGAAACAAAACAGAUAAAAAUCUCUACCGGUUUGGAACUCACAUUUGAAUGCUGUAUAUUCUCAUGUUCUUCCUCUUUGUCUCUCAUUUUCGUUGUUCAUCUCUUUUUUUGUUCUUUUUAGAGGCAAGGUCUCACUCUGUCACCCAGGAUGGAGAGCAGUGGCGCAAUCAUAGCUCACUGUACCUUCCAACUCCUGGGUUCAAGGAAUCGUCUUGCCUCAGUCUCCCAAGUAGCUGGGACUACAGGCAGGUGCCACCAUGCCUGGCUAAUUUUUUUAAAAAACUUAUUUUUUGUAGAGAUGGGGUCUCGCCAUGUUGCCCGGGCUGGUAUCAAACUUGUGGCUUCAAGUUAUCCUCCCACCUUGGCAUCCCAAAGUGUUGGGAUUAUAGGCAUGAGCCACCAUGCCCAGCUUGUUGCUCAUCUCUUAAGUGGUCUUUCUGUCUCUCCUCUCUCUUGUUGAAUUCCUCUCUUCUAAACUCACUAAAAUGAAAACAUUUUGAAAU